UUAUAAGAGACAGCAGCCGCCGCGGGAAUACAGAGGGUGCGAGCGUUAAUCGGAUUUACUGGGCGUAAAGCGUGCGUAGGCGGCUUUUUAAGUCGGAUGUGAAAUCCCUGAGCUUAACUUAGGAAUUGCAUUCGAUACUGGGAAGCUAGAGUAUGGGAGAGGAUGGUAGAAUUCCAGGUGUAGCGGUGAAAUGCGUAGAGAUCUGGAGGAAUACCGAUGGCGAAGGCAGCCAUCUGGCCUAAUACUGACGCUGAGGUACGAAAGCAUGGGGAGCAAACAGGAUUAGAUACCCGUGUAGUCCCUGUCUCUUAUAC
RNAcentral lists this ribosomal RNA (314 nucleotides) under uncultured bacterium. RNAcentral's name for it is "partial 16S ribosomal RNA". It matches the Rfam family "Bacterial small subunit ribosomal RNA", at positions 499 to 807 of the family's 1533-position model. The record is from RNAcentral.